RNAcentral lists this ribosomal RNA (397 nucleotides) under uncultured bacterium. RNAcentral's name for it is "partial 16S ribosomal RNA". It matches the Rfam family "Bacterial small subunit ribosomal RNA", at positions 523 to 918 of the family's 1533-position model. The record is from RNAcentral.
AUACGUAGGGGGCGAGCGUUGUCCGGAAUGAUUGGGCGUAAAGGGCGCGUAGGCGGCCCGGUAAGUCUGGAGUGAAAGUCCUGUUUUUAAGAUGGGAAUUGCUUUGGAUACUGUUGGGCUUGAGUGCAGGAGAGGUAAGUGGAAUUCCCAGUGUAGCGGUGAAAUGCGUAGAGAUUGGGAGGAACACCAGUGGCGAAGGCGACUUACUGGACUGUAACUGACGCUGAGGCGCGUAAGUGUGGGGAGCAAACAGGAUUAGAUACCCUGGUAGUCCACACUGUAAACGAUGAAUGCUAGGUGUAGGGGGUAUCGACCCCUUCUGUGCCGCAGUCAACACAAUAAGCAUUCCGCCUGGGGAGUACGGCCGCAAGGUUGAAACUCAAAGGAAUUGACGGGG